Vigna angularis (adzuki bean) is the source of this 692-nucleotide long non-coding RNA. RefSeq lists it as uncharacterized. The record is from RefSeq and is a predicted model, not a curated record. Lineage: Eukaryota; Viridiplantae; Streptophyta; Magnoliopsida; Fabales; Fabaceae. The transcript is spliced from 3 exons.
UUAUUAAGGUUAAAAAUAAAUUUAUGAAAAAAUUGGAGGUACAGCAUAAAACACUCUUAGGUUAUUGAGAGUCAGAGAACUCAGAAGCCGGAGAGCGAGAUACAAGAAAUUCGAACCUAGGGUUGCCGAACAAGGGGAAAUCGAACAAGAAGAAGAACGACCACAGAAAGAAAUGAGUUGUUCAACAGAUUUCGAAACCAUGCUCGAGCAGCUCAGCCACCGCAUAAAAGAAAAACAAAGAGAAAGUUCGAAUUUGAUUUUCAUUAAUAAGAUGGUUACUGAACGAAUUGAACAGGAUUUGAUUUUCAUUAAAAAGAUGGUUAUUGAACGAAUUGAACAGGAGAAGUUUAUGACUAGUAUAUGGGAAGACUGUCAGAAACUAAAGUCAGUAAGGAAGCAGGAAGAAUCAAAAAGGAAAUACAAGAGCUGAAAGAAGAAAUUAAAAGAAUAAAGGAAGAAAUACAAGAACUGAAAAAAGAAUUUAAAACAAUGAAGACUGACAUGGACGAAUUCAAGAAGAGUAACAAAAAAGCAUUGGAUUCGAUGAUGGCAAAACUAACUCAAUUAGUGCCAUCUACAUAGAGAGGCUUAUUGUAUUGAAAUUUUGGGAUGUAUAUAGACACGCUUAUUGUAUUGAAAUUUUGGGAUCUACAUAGACAUACUUAUUGUAUUGAAAUUUUGGGAUCUACAUA